This 68-nucleotide transfer RNA is filed under the name Nippostrongylus brasiliensis. It matches the Rfam family "tRNA". From Rfam's summary of the family: Transfer RNA (tRNA) molecules are approximately 80 nucleotides in length. Their secondary structure includes four short double-helical elements and three loops (D, anti-codon, and T loops). Lineage: Eukaryota; Metazoa; Nematoda; Chromadorea; Rhabditida; Heligmosomidae. The record is from Rfam by way of RNAcentral.
ACAUCGGUAGCACAGUGGUUAGUGCAGUCUGAAACAGAAAGACGCGGGUUCAAUUCCCGUCCAAUGCC